Molecule: ribosomal RNA, 253 nt
Filed under: uncultured bacterium
Lineage: Bacteria
Description: partial 16S ribosomal RNA
Rfam family: Bacterial small subunit ribosomal RNA
Source: RNAcentral
UACGGAGGGUGCGAGCGUUGUCCGGAAUCACUGGGCGUAAAGGGCGCGUAGGCGGCGCGACAAGUCAAUGGUGAAAGCCCGAGGCUCAACUUCGGGUCGGCCACUGAUACUGUUGGGCUUGAGCACUGUAGAGGCAGGUGGAAUUCCGGGUGUAGCGGUGGAAUGCGUAGAGGUCCGGAAGAACACCGGUGGCGAAGGCGGCCUGCUGGGCAGUAGCUGACGCUGAGGCGCGACAGCGUGGGGAGCAAACAGG